RNAcentral lists this long non-coding RNA (435 nucleotides) under Pan troglodytes (chimpanzee). Its description in RNAcentral is "long non-coding RNA NONPTRT009084". Lineage: Eukaryota; Metazoa; Chordata; Mammalia; Primates; Hominidae. The record is from RNAcentral.
GAAGGAGUCGGGGAGCGGAGGCGGGGGGGGUGUCUGCCUUUUAACCCUCCCCAAGAGGUCGUGCCUCUGAGCCCCAAAGCUGAAGGCCCCUCUUGGGGGUGGGUGCGGGCCGGAGGGGCCCGAUCCUUUCAGAGCCGGGCCGAGGUGAAGGAAAAGAAGGAAGCAAGAAGAGCCAUUUGGAGUUAGAGGUCUCAGCUGUGAAGCCAGAACAAUAAAAAUAAAAACAGCGCGGACUCCUGGGCAGCCUGGACCAGGGAACCAACUGCCCCAAGAGUUGCUGCUCACCAGGCUGGAAGAAAAUUCUCAAACUACAGGAAGUGGAGAGAACAGUACAGUGACCCUACACGCUUGUUACCAGCCUCACCUGUCACCCACAUGGAGUCCUUCCCAUUCGUGGGGUUUCCAGGUAUGUGCCUGUCCCAGGGAGGCCAUGUG